GCGACGACGGGUAGCCGGCCUGAGAGGGUGACCGGCCACACUGGGACUGAGACACGGCCCAGACUCCUACGGGAGGCAGCAGUGGGGAAUAUUGCACAAUGGGCGCAAGCCUGAUGCAGCGACGCCGCGUGAGGGAUGACGGCCUUCGGGUUGUAAACCUCUUUCAGCAGGGAAGAAGCGAAAGUGACGGUACCUGCAGAAGAAGCACCGGCUAACUA
Molecule: ribosomal RNA, 218 nt
Filed under: Micrococcus luteus
Lineage: Bacteria; Bacillati; Actinomycetota; Actinomycetes; Micrococcales; Micrococcaceae
Description: partial 16S ribosomal RNA
Rfam family: Bacterial small subunit ribosomal RNA
Source: RNAcentral